RNAcentral lists this unclassified non-coding RNA (1063 nucleotides) under leaf metagenome. Its description in RNAcentral is "partial contains internal transcribed spacer 1, 5.8S ribosomal RNA, internal transcribed spacer 2, and large subunit ribosomal RNA". The stretch from base 477 to 1063 matches the Rfam family "Eukaryotic large subunit ribosomal RNA", at positions 1 to 592 of the family's 3401-position model. The record is from RNAcentral.
GAUCAUUACCUUUUAUCGGGGAGCUGUAGUUUACUAUAUGCUCCUGUCUGGACCCAUGUCUAUUGCGUACUUAUGUUUCCUCGGCGGACUUGUUCCGCCGAUUGGACUCUUCAAAACCUUUUGUAAUUGUAAUCAGCGUCUGAAAAAUAUUUAAUAUUUACAACUUUCAACAACGGAUCUCUUGGUUCUGGCAUCGAUGAAGAACGCAGCGAAAUGCGAUAAGUAGUGUGAAUUGCAGAAUUCAGUGAAUCAUCGAAUCUUUGAACGCACAUUGCGCCCCUUGGUAUUCCAUGGGGCAUGCCUGUUCGAGCGUCAUUUGUACCCUCAAGCUCUGCUUGGUGUUGGGUGUUUGUCAUAUCCUUUGCGGUUUGACUCGCCUUAAAUUUAUUGGCAGCCGGCGUAUUGGCCUAGGAGCGCAGCACAUUUUGCGAUCGUAGCCUGUAUACUAGCAUCCAUUAAGCCUCAAUUAUCACUUUUGACCUCGGAUCAGGUAGGGAUACCCGCUGAACUUAAGCAUAUCAAUAAGCGGAGGAAAAGAAACCAACAGGGAUUGCCCUAGUAACGGCGAGUGAAGCGGCAACAGCUCAAAUUUGAAAUCUGGCUCUUUCAGAGUCCGAGUUGUAAUUUGCAGAGGGCGCUUUGGCGUUGGCAGCGGUCCAAGUUCUUUGGAACAGGACGUCACAGAGGGUGAGAAUCCCGUACGUGGUCGCUAGCCUUCGCCGUGUAAAGCCCCUUCGACGAGUCGAGUUGUUUGGGAAUGCAGCUCUAAAUGGGAGGUAAAUUUCUUCUAAAGCUAAAUACUGGCCAGAGACCGAUAGCGCACAAGUAGAGUGAUCGAAAGAUGAAAAGCACUUUGGAAAGAGAGUCAAAUAGCACGUGAAAUUGUUGAAAGGGAAGCGCUUGCAGCCAGACUUGCUUGUAGUUGCUUACCUAGACUUUUGUCUGGGGCACUCUUCUGCAAGCAGGCCAGCAUCAGUUUGGGCGGUUGGAUAAAGGUCUCUGUCAUGUACCUCUCUUCGGGGAGGCCUUAUAGGGGAGACGACAUACAACCAGCCUGGACUGA